GAUGAACGCUGGCGGCGUGCCUAAUACAUGCAAGUCGAGCGAACAGACGAGGAGCUUGCUCCUCUGACGUUAGCGGCGGACGGGUGAGUAACACGUGGAUAACCUACCUAUAAGACUGGGAUAACUUCGGGAAACCGGAGCUAAUACCGGAUAACAUGUUGAACCGCAUGGUUCAACAGUGAAAGACGGUUUUGCUGUCACUUAUAGAUGGGUCCGCGUCGCAUUAGCUAGUUGGUAAGGUAACGGCUUACCAAGGCAACGAUGCGUAGCCGACCUGAGAGGGUGAUCGGCCACACUGGAACUGAGACACGGUCCAGACUCCUACGGGAGGCAGCAGUAGGGAAUCUUCCGCAAUGGGCGAAAGCCUGACGGAGCAACGCCGCGUGAGUGAAGAAGGUCUUCGGAUCGUAAAACUCUGUUAUUAGGGAAGAACAAAUGUGUAAGUAACUAUGCACGUCUUGACGGUACCUAAUCAGAAAGCCACGGCUAACUACGUG
This 497-nucleotide ribosomal RNA is filed under the name uncultured bacterium. Its description in RNAcentral is "partial 16S ribosomal RNA". It matches the Rfam family "Bacterial small subunit ribosomal RNA", at positions 28 to 507 of the family's 1533-position model. The record is from RNAcentral.